Molecule: long non-coding RNA, 3576 nt
Organism: Aegilops tauschii subsp. strangulata
Lineage: Eukaryota; Viridiplantae; Streptophyta; Magnoliopsida; Poales; Poaceae
Source: RefSeq, a predicted model, not a curated record
GCACGCCUAUGCCCGAACAUCUGCUGCAUCGCCCCAUGGCUUCGCCUCGCUCGCCACCGGCGGCAGGCCACCCCGCCGCCCGACUCGCCACGCACCGGAGGCGACCGGUGGCAGGUCGAUCUUCCCCCCCCCCCCCCCCCCCCCCCCCCCCCCGGCCGCGCGCCGCCAUCUAGCACCACCAUCGUCGCCGCUCCUCGAUGGUUGGAGCUCCCUUCCCACAGCCCGAUCUAGAUGCCCCUCCUGUCAUAUCUGAGCACGACGCUCUGCCCGUCCACAAUCAGCCUCCUCAAUCUCCAACCUGUUCUACAUCCCCUCUCCACCCGUCCACAAUCAGCCUCCUCAAUCUCCAACCUCCUGCAGCCGUCCUUCUCUGAUUUGGAUCAAAGUAGAGCCAUCGAUGGAGGCAGGGGAGCAGCAGAUGGAGCAAAAGAAAUAAAGAAUCAGUUGCUCCCGCUGCUACCUCCCAGUCGCGUCCCACCCCGUUAGGAACGCUGCCCGGCUCCCCUGCUCCUAUCGCCCCACCUUUUCCUAGCCAAUAAUCAAGGGGUGCAGUAGAGGAGCACCGGUGUAGAAUGCAUCUGCAGUGGUGCGGGUUGGGGACCGAGUGACGGAUUCAGGUCAAGGGGGUUUUCGGCUAGCGUAGAAGCAGGCUGCAUAAGAAUGCAAUAAUUUGAUUAAGCAAGACAGGCGUCUGGGAAACAAGCACGGUGAUGGCUUGCUCAACUAGAAGUUCUACAAUAAAUGGAUGGCUAUUUUCUCCUGGAAUGCAGAUGGAUGUCUGAUUGAGGAGAUGAAUCAUGCAUCCUGCUAUGAUAUGACAGAGCAGUACCGUGAGUACAUAGGGAAGCAGCUCAACAACCGGCAUACUACAAUUUCAAUUUCUACAAUGCAGAUGAAUGCUAUGCAUUUUCCGGUGUAUGAGUUCUUUGUGAUUUCCUCCCAUAUUUUUGAUCCAGACUUUCAUGAUACACACACAUACUAUAAACUUUAGUACUACUAAUUGCUAGCUUUAUUUGGUCAUAUCUGAUUCUCUGUUGUUAAUCCUCUCCUACAUUGCCAAGCUCAGUUUGAUUAUAUGUGGAGGUGUGUUUUAUUCUCUGAUGAUAUUUCCAUAUUUUUGAAUAUAUGGCAAGCACAACUCUUGGUGUUAGCGCUUAUUCCUUUUAUUUUAGAUGGUUUACUACGGUACUUGAGAGUCAUUUAUUGAUUUAUUUUGGAUGUUGAAUUGUACCAUGCUCCAGGAAGUUGAUAUCUGACUGUCGAGUUUGUGCCUAAUUUAGAUUGACCAUGGUAUGGACCAAUCCAAGCUCCGUCAGGAUGUAGACAGUGUCCGUAAAUUCCUUCUGGACCAGUACAUCAAUAAAAAAACAUGUCAAUGUACAACACUCCUACAUUAACCAUUCUCAACAAAGUCAUGCCUGUAUUAUGAGAAAUCAGACCAACGUUGGUGGGCAAGAAGUUUCAGUUUUCUUUUAUAAUUUUAUUGAUGAUUGAUUAGUUAUUGGUUAUGCUCUCGAAGAAGUUGCCGAUGGAGAUAGCUGGGGUGUCAUCGUCCUUGCUUGAUCUGGGCAUAUGUGCUGGCACUUACAGAUUCCAUCGCGUAGAGAAAUGGCACUGCUUGUCUGCUACCUAUGACUCGUUUAUGUGCUGGCCAACUUUCAUUUUCAUGCCAAGCAGGGUUGAUUAUCAGAGGGCUAGGAAAGAUGGAGCAUGAGCGGGAGCAUCGACUACGAUGAGUUCAUCAGGGCGACAGUGUACAUCAACAAGCUGUAGCAGGAGGAGCACCUGCCGGCUGCCUUUGUCUACGUCGACAAGGACGACAGCAGGUGCAUCACCGUAGAAAAGGUGGAAGAGGCUUGCCAAGAGUACAACAUACAUGCUGUAUCAACACAUCAUCAGGGACGUCAACAAUGGCAAUAUGCGUUUAGAACCAAGCAUGAAGGUUAAUCCAAAUAUGCGGGGAAGAAUACAAAUGCGGAAAUGCAUAGUCGCGGAAGAUGACCAUACAGAGACAAUAUUAUGCAUGAAGAUGAAAGGCGCCAAGGAUGCACAAUGGCGGGUGCGGGAAGGCAUCAGAAGAGCUCGGGUAGAUAGCCGUGAGCGAGGUGCGUCUCGACACAAAAGGGCAAGGUGAUGAUGCUAGAAGGAGCCGGAAUAGUGCGAAGGUCUGCCAACCGAACGCAUGGUGCAGGACUGGAGGUGGACGCUAUUUCAACUCAGGUCCUACUUAAACUAAAUAUCAUUUUACAUGGCCAUUGGUGUUUUUCCCGUUGCAACGCACGGGUCCUUUUCCUAGUUUACAUUAACUGCUACAGUCCCACGCCCCUACGCCUAGCGGUAAUCACGCGAAGUGGACGUUGGAUUGACUGGUCAUCAUGACGAACCGCCGUGCACGCAGCCUUCUCCUGCCACGUGUCCGUGCACUGUUUGGGGCCUAACCCAACGUGCCCCGUGACACGUAUGGCUCAGGCCCGGGAGCUUAUGUCGGGGAACACAAACUAGGGUGUGUGUUUUCCCCUGUCUCGUGCACUGGCAGUAAGCCAAUAAGCACAAGAACAAGAUCACAGCACCAAGGUCAGAUUGAAGCACAAGGGAUCAGUUCUUCGAAGGACCAACAUGCAGAUCAAGAGGACCAAGACUAGCCGGAGAAGCAAGAUAUCGCUAAGGGAAAAACCUGCCUUCCCGGGUAGGCGAGCCUGGUGAAGACGGUGUUAUCCCCGGAAGCAAGCUUUCGGAUCAUCUCGGCAGGCCUGCCGGGGCUUACGGAGGCAAAACACUCCACCGCACCACCUCAUCAUGACGCACGUCGUCGAUCAGUGCGGUGUCAAGCUCCAAGGUGACUAAGUGGCUACUAUUUGCCACAUGGCAGCCACUUCCUACAGAAAAUACCUCCAAGCGACACCCGUCCUGAGACGUGUCAAUCAAGCAGGCGCGAAGCUAGCAAAACAGCCCGGCAGGGCCUGCCGGGCAAGCUGUGAUGUGACAUUGAGUAGCACAUUUAAUGCGCUCUGUCAGCUUGCAGAGUUAGGUAUGAUAGCACUGUUUGCCAUCUAAUCAGUGUGUAAUGACUGAUUUGCCACUGUGGUGACCUUUUGGUCUAUAAAAGGGGGCCCAAAGCAACCGAAGAAAGGGUUAGCUAAUUCAGACCCUCACACACUUGUACGCGCGUAGCCGUUCUCGCCACGAGGCAACCCAGCCAGGCAAACGUGCUGCGCUCAACACCAUGUUUCCACCAUCAAUCCACCAAAACAGGAGUAUGGUUUUACGCCUCACGGCGGCCCGAACCUGGGUAAUAACUACCCGUGUGAUCUCUGACGUGCUGUUCCACACUCCUCCGCUCUUUCUGCAACGUGCUAUCCCCCCGCCGAACCAGAAAGGGGCUCUUGGUCCCAUAGGUGGUCGUGGUUUCCCACGACAUACCCCCUUGCCAAACUCAUGGCAAGGUACACAAUAGGUCUGGUACACAGCAUGGCAUACUUUAUAGAACCUAUGACUGAGGCUAGGGAAUGACUUUCCUUCCGUAUCUAUCUUAUGCCGUGGUUGGGAUUUGAGUCUUACUCAACUUCACACCUUACA